AGAGUUUGAUCCUGGCUCAGAACGUACGCUGGCGGCACGCCUAACACAUGCAAGUCGAACGCAGUAGCAAUACUGAGUGGCAAACGGGUGAGUAUAAUGUGGGAAUCUGCCUUUUGGUUUGGAAUAACACGGGGAAACUUGUGCUAAUACCGAAUAAGCCCUCACGGGGAAAGUUUUAACGCCGAAAGAUGAGCCCGCACUUGAUUAGCUAGUUGGUAAGGUAAAAGCUUACCAAGGCAAUGAUCAAUAGCUGUUCUUAGAGGAAGACCAGCCACAUUGGGACUGAGACACGGCCCAGACUCCUACGGGAGGCAGCAGUGGGGAAUCUUGCACAAUGGGGGAAACCCUGAUGCAGCGAUGCCGCGUGAGUGAAGAAGGCCUUUGGGUUGUAAAACUCUUUCGUCGGGGAAGAAAAUGACUGUACCCGAAUAAGAAGGUCCGGCUAACUUCGUGCCAGCAGCCGCGGUAAUACGAAGGGACCUAGCGUAGUUCGGAAUUACUGGGCUUAAAGAGCUCGUAGGUGGUUAAAAAAGUUGAUGGUGAAAUCCCAAGGCUCAACCUUGGAACUGCCAUCAAAACUUUUUAGCUAGAGUGUGAUAGAGGUAAGUGGAAUUUCUAGUGUAGAGGUGAAAUUCGUAGAUAUUAGAAAGAACACCAAAUGCGAAGGCAACUUACUGGGUCACUACUGACACUGAGGAGCGAAAGCAUGGGUAGCGAAGAGGAUUAGAUACCCUCGUAGUCCAUGCCGUAAACGAUGUGUGCUAGACGUUGGAAA
This 775-nucleotide ribosomal RNA is filed under the name uncultured Alphaproteobacteria bacterium. RNAcentral describes it as "bacterial SSU rRNA". It matches the Rfam family "Bacterial small subunit ribosomal RNA", at positions 8 to 829 of the family's 1533-position model. The record is from RNAcentral. Lineage: Bacteria; Pseudomonadati; Pseudomonadota; Alphaproteobacteria.